Long non-coding RNA from Zea mays, 3603 nucleotides. RefSeq lists it as uncharacterized. The transcript is spliced from 3 exons. Lineage: Eukaryota; Viridiplantae; Streptophyta; Magnoliopsida; Poales; Poaceae. The record is from RefSeq and is a predicted model, not a curated record.
CCCACGCGCCAUCCCCGCUGAUCCCCCAGCCCGACCCUGCCACCGCCAUCCCCGUCCCCGAGCGUCGACGCCCCGUCCCCAAGCGCCAACGCCCCAUCCCCGAGCCCCGACGAGCCUCGAGCCCGACCAUGACCGCGCCAUCCCUGCAGCACGUCCCCACCCCGAGCGCCGACGCCCCGUCCCCAAGCCCAGAAAUCCGCCUCGCCUCGACCUCGCGGCCGCGCCAUCCCCAUCCCCAUCCCCGUCCCGAGCGCCGACGCCCCGUCCCAGAGCCCGGCCACCCGCUGCUGCACAAGCCAGCAUUGGGCGCGGCAUAAUCUGUCGUGCACGUCGUUCCCAGAAACCACCGCCGAACCCGCGCGCGCCGUCCCUGGAACCGCCGCCAAACCCCGCCAUCCGCGCAUCCCCCUCGAUCCGCACUCGCCGCCGCACAAUCCGGUAUCCCGAGCCUGAGCCCUAGCCCUCACGCGGUCAUGCCUCCCCGCUCUGUGGCGAUUGCGCUCUCGCGCCCCCCUUCUGGGUGCUUUGUCGCAGUUGCGGCUGUGGCCGCCACAUUGCUCCUUCCUCUCGGGUAUCUGCCCUCGUGUUGUCGUGUCUCCCCGCUCCGCUGUGGUCGUGCUCUCACGGCCCCUGUCGGGCGCUCCGUCGCCGCCGCGGCUGCGUCCGCCACAGGGGACCACUGAGGCGCUGACCACCAGCACUACCACAGAGGGCGCGCGGGCGUGCCGGAGGCCGGACCCACUGUCUUGGCGUGCGGCGUCAGUGCGACGUGGUCGUGGUGGGUGCUCGCGUACGUGUCAGUGGCCGCCGAUGUUGACACGCUGUGGUAGGUCAUCACCGACUACGAGCACCUCGCCGACUCAAUCCCCAACCUCAUAUAGAGGUGGUUCCGCUCGUGCUUCGCUUGUAGUGGGACGAUUCUGUGUCUGCAUGAAGGGUGGAUAUGGCUGGAGCAGAGAGGCCUGCAAUGGGCAACACACGUUGUAUUGGCACAAUGAAUGUUGAUUCAGUUAUUUAAAAUUCAGAUCUCAUAGUUUGAUAAGGUAGUUUCUUGCUUGGUAAGUUAGUCUGAUGUCAACUCCAAUAAUAUUUUUCUCCAAUACCCUGUUAAUAGGUCUGUCAUAUGUCCUACUUGGUUAAAGGUUUCCAUUCUAUGCUUGGUUUAGGAGCAAUACAGGCAUGGACGUCAUUAGAUUGGGGUGGUGAGCUAUAUGAUGGUGAAUCAAAUGAACUUCAGAACAUUGACCUUCAGUUAAGAGAUGCCUACUGACUGCCUGAAAAUCGGUGUGCAGAUCUUUUAGGGAGUCAGCGGCCUUGCAAUCCCCCUCUGCAACCAUAAGAAAUUUCGUGUGCUACAGAUUUAGUACUGAUGAAUCCCUCUAUGCAGUUCCAAACAACUGCACAAAUCUUAAGGUGUGCCUCUCUUAUUUUUUCCUGAAUCUCAAGCACUUUAGUUUGUGGUGCUUGCAAACAGCAAUUGCACUAGCAGACGUGAUGUUUUCAUUCUCUGUGAGAUUGUUUUCAGAGAGAGGUAGGAACAACAGUGGUCGUUGUUGCUGCACAAACAAAGGCUAUUGCUGGUAACUUUUACUUGUUAUAUUAUUUAAGCAUAUUAUAUAGACUAGACAUUUGCUACUUUGCUUUCUCAUCAUCUUAUGUUUUUGAUUUAUUUCUGCAUCUGUUCAAUAUAAAUUUGAGAUGCAUAUGCUCUUUCAUUUCUUUUUACAUUAAAUAGUAAAAAUUAUGGUGGCAGGGUUGAUGUCUUUGUGUGUGUGUGAACCAGACAUGAAAAUAAAUUCGAAGCUAUUGCCAUUUUAAAAAAAGAACUACAUUACACAUGAUACAUAUAUUUAUACCUAACAAUUUUUUAAUACUUCAAUCUUUCAGUUUCGACUCGUCAAUUUCUUUACUUUCAUUAGGACAGUUGUUACUGAUGGUGCAUUUUCCACCAUUAUGCCCUUCAUAUUCCAUCAACGUGAGAUAAGUUUCAUUAAAAUUAAGCAAUGGUGUCGAGAAAGGCCAUUUAGGCUCUAAACAGUCGCAGCGAUAUACUCUUUCUUCAUACACUGACUUUGACGUGGCGAGAUAGUGGGAUAUUUGGGGCCAAAAUUAGGGUGAACGGUUGUAGACAGUCUCAAUAAAUGGUUAUAAGAUGAAACAUUCAAGCCAUAAAAAUCAGAUAGCCUUUCCUUGAUCCUUCCAUCCUCUAUGGUGCAUUUCAAAUCAAAUAACCUGAUGACUGCUAUAGAAAUUAAUCUGCAACUUAGUGUUGUUUUUUGACAAUACUCUGACAAGAUAGUGGUAAAAAUGUCCACUAUGUAAAAAAUUUGCUCAAAUGUUCUGGCCACCAUGCACUCCAUAUCCAAAUGCCUAAGUUGGAGUGUUGAACAUCCCAUUUUUUUUCUUCAUAUUAACAUUUGGCUUGUCGUGGAAAUAGAUUUGCAAAAGCAACAAACUGACUUGGUUAUUGAAAUAGAACUCUUUUAUACUUAAAUGUUUGUUGGCCACUCAAUCGUCCAAUGGUGCACAAGCGCUGCUUUUGGCAAAGGAGAAUUAUGGGUGAAAAAGUGAAUUGGCAUGUUUUUGUCAAGUCAAUUCUUACUCUUUUUUUGGUAAUUGAAUGUUUUGUUAGAUUCACUAAAAUGGUGAUCAACUAUGUGCACCUCCACUAGAUAAAUUCUUACUGUUUGCGUAUUUCACUCCUUCAAAGAUAGUCUAUUGGAUAAAGCUAAAAGUAGUAGCCAUUUCCUUAUACUUGCACAUCUUAGGGUCAAUUUCAUACUAGAUAUAUUCCUUCAGGUACUUUUUAUUUGCUUGCGCCUAAAAAUGGCUAAACAUCACUUUUUGCUUGAUGUUUAGUAUUAGAUUGAUUAACAUUGAUGUGCAUUUCUCGUUGGGUUAUUGAAAACCACAUUUAAUUUAUUGUGUGCCCUUAAUGGUAGGGAAAUAGAUCGUGUAUGCACAACUUUUUGCAGUAAAGAGUUCUAUUGUAGUUUGUAGGAAUUAAAAUUUCAUUUUUCUAUAUAUAAAAACACGAUUUCAUGCAAAUUUCUCUCUCUAUGGUACAAGAUACGUGACGAUGUGGCAUUUGCAAUGCACACGGUGAGAAAGGAUAUGGUUAGUUGGUCUGUCAACUCUACUUGAUGAAUGACAACAAUUCUUUCAUUUGUUGAAAUUCUCAGCUUGUUCAGUUCAUAGUUUUGAUUUCAUGGUUCAUAUAUGGAUACACACCAAUACAUGUUUGUUGUGACAAUAUGAUAAAGGUGUACAUGUUUUGUCGUCUCCAUUCCCUAUGCUUAUAUCAACUGUAAUAAACAAGUUGUAUUUGAAAAGAUUUCAUUUCACAUCACUAUGAUACAAUACAUAAUAGAUGAGAGAACAUAAUAGAUGAGAGAACUGAUCUCUUUUGUUUUCUUUCUUUCUGAGAGAUAAAUUGUAUACAUCUUAUGCCAAACUUCCAAGAGCUUAAUAGAUGAACCACUCGAGGUUUUUUUAUUCAUUUUAGAUUUCAACUGAUCGUACUACUUGUCACUCAAGUCAUGGACAGUUUGCAUGCGGAUUUGACUAAAUCAAUGAUAAAAGGUUUAGGGUUUGGCAUUGUUA